GUUUCUGCUGGCGGUCGCCAUUUUCGCAACUUGCGAAAAAAUAAUAAUUGUGGCAAUUAAAAUUCGUCAUUGGCGAAAGAAUUUGGCGAAAGAAAUAUAUAUAACGAUUUAUUUUCAGCCAUCUUGUUUAUUUACUUUUUUCGGGUUUCUCUGACUUUACCUAUCAGACAAUACUCGGAAUUCACCUUGAACUCGUUAAGAUUUUGACAGAAAAUCAAUAAUCAGCUGAUUGCAUUCAUAGCUAUCGACAUCAAAGGACUAAUUAAUAAAGGU
Molecule: long non-coding RNA, 273 nt
Filed under: Mytilus galloprovincialis (Mediterranean mussel)
Lineage: Eukaryota; Metazoa; Mollusca; Bivalvia; Mytilida; Mytilidae
Source: RNAcentral